Long non-coding RNA from Mustela lutreola (European mink), 393 nucleotides. RefSeq lists it as uncharacterized. NCBI's taxonomy places the organism in Eukaryota, Metazoa, Chordata, Mammalia, Carnivora, Mustelidae. The record is from RefSeq and is a predicted model, not a curated record. The transcript is spliced from 3 exons.
CGCAGUUAGGAGGCCACGCCUCCAACGGCCAUCAAGCGCGAAGUCCCGCCUUCGCAGACAAAGGCCCAGUGGAAUCCCGGCUGACUCGGGAAGCCACGCCCCCUAGGGGGAGGGCCGCCCGAGUUUUCACCAGGCUCGCCACGGAGCCAAUAGAUACUUAUUGAGCAUCUACUACAUGCCAGGCACUGGGGAAUACAGGAGUCAACAAGAUAAGAAUCUCUGCCUUCAAGACCUAAUAACCCACUAUCGGGAGGGACAGACAAUCAAUGUGCUCUACUGCACACAGUCCUGGCCAAGGAGGCCUACGCUGAAGUCUGCAGGAUGACUAAGGAUUAAGUGGGCAUUCAAAGAUAAGAAGAGGUGACUCAUUGCCAGCAACUGCUUACCUCUAGU